RNAcentral lists this ribosomal RNA (207 nucleotides) under uncultured bacterium. RNAcentral's name for it is "partial 16S ribosomal RNA". It matches the Rfam family "Bacterial small subunit ribosomal RNA", at positions 568 to 774 of the family's 1533-position model. The record is from RNAcentral.
CGUGCAGGCGGCUCGGUAAGUCGGAUGUGAAAGCCCGGAGCUCAACUUCGGAAGUGCAUUCGAAACUGUCGGGCUCGAGUACGGGAGAGGGAAGUGGAAUUCCUGGUGUAGAGGUGAAAUUCGUAGAUAUCAGGAGGAACACCGGUGGCGAAGGCGGCUUCCUGGACCGAUACUGACGCUGAGACGCGAAAGCGUGGGGAGCAAACA